GCAUAGUCACGUGUACGCUUAUUACCGCAAUCGGUUACAAUCAAAACAUGACGCGCCAUGUAUGAGUUAUUGCUAGAACUAGAGUUAGUUACAGGCUAGAACACAGAGAGAAUUUGGUGUCACCGGCCACUAUGGCGCGUGGUGUUUUACAUUUAUUUGAAAAAUAAUCAUGUACUACGAUAUCACUGCACAUUUGCGUUUUUACAAACAUUAUGACCCAUUUUCUACUUCGUUCGGUAUUUUUCAUUCUUAACGAUUCGAACAGUUUCUUUGACAUUGUAAUUUAGAAAGUUUGUUAACGACUAUUCUUUAUAAAUUGAUUUUGAUCUGAUUUUGAUUGCUCUGCUAUAAAUACAUCGAGUACAAGAAUAAAAAAGGAAGCAAGUGAGACACGGCAAGACGUUUUAUGAAAUUCAUUUGUAAGUUAUUCGCACAGCUAAACUUUAAAAUAUUUUCUGGAAUAUCUUGGAAACUAUUCGAGAUAGAGGAAUGACGUUAAUAGACAGGCUUUUUUGAGCGAGGAAUAUAAUCGUGUAAACAAGUCUGGCGACAUCAAACUCCCUUUGUGUUCUCGCCUAUAACUAAUCCUAGUUUUAGCAACAACUCGGAGACGGCGCCACAUGUUUUGGUUGUAGCAAUAAGCGUACAUUUGAUCAUGUUGGCACAUGUUCCUAUUACAAGAUUGUGUCUUUUAGUUAUGGAUGUAACGAUCCUACAUAGAUAUGAUUAAUAAUUGAUAAUACGAUUUUAUAUAAUAUAAAUUAUAUUUUAUGUUAUACCCUUGUAUGCAACAGUAAUAUUAACUGCAGAACUUCAGUUGGUAAGGUCGGACGUCUUCUGGCUGCAAAUACAUAUAAAACCUCAUGCUUGGAAUAAAAUUUAAAUGCUGUUCUACGAAUGGUCAACAUUUUGUUAACGGAUACUCAAAUAAUUAAAUAUCUUAUAUCAUAAACAUUAUUUUAAUAAAAUAAUGUUUUAAAAUUCUCCUUUACAUCUGUGAGAAUUUAUGAAAAUCUAUGAAAAUCUAUGAAAUAUGGGAAAGAAUACGUAUAUAUUUUGCAAAAAUUUAAUAGGAAUUCAAACGAUUUAAACUGAGAUUAGAAAGAGUUGAACAAAAUAGCGCGGAAAAUUGUAUUCAUUUGAUCAUAGCGUCAUUAAUUUUGAGCGUAGUUGAAAGAUGUAGAAUACCUUACACAUUAUUCGUUAUGCGCAUGUAUACUAUUUUUCUAUUCAGUUGAUAAACCAGGUCGGUCCAGAUCCGGAUAUUAUCAGAAGUAUGAAUUCACGAUUAACUUAUUACACGUAAUUAUCUGUUUGUGUCUGACAGUGUACGUUUUAACGAUCCGUAAAAAAUUGUUAGAAACUAUUAAAAAUAUAAACUAAGAAUGCUUUAUGAUAAUUUUGUGUUCAUAUGUAUAUAUAUAAAAGGAUAUACAAAUUAGUUUGACUAGAAUAUAAGAGUUUGGCAUAAAUCUUUCAUUAUUAAUAGUAAGAAAGUUAAUCGAAUUCUUUGUCGUACCAGAUUAUAUGUAUACUCUACAAGAUUAUUAUAAUAAGUUUAAAAAUAAGGUUGUCGAAGAUCGUUCUACGCAACAGAGCCAAUUUCGCUGUAAUUUUAAUUAUAUCUAAUUAGAAUUGCAUGUUAAUUACUCCGAAUACAUCGACAAAUGAUUUAUUUUAUAUUAUCGUAUAUUAAAUUUACGAUAAAGAAUAAUUAAAAUUACGAUUAAGAAUAAAUUUAGUUUAUUAUGCCCUACAUAGCGUAUAAAAUACUCAUUUUACUUAGAAUAAUUUAAAGCAAAUUAGUUUGUGAAUUCUCUCGUGUUAUACAACCUCGUAUCCAUUAUCGCUAAUUAAUUAUCGAAUUGUGCCACUACAUGCAUCGUUGCGAUGUAUCUAUAUGAAAUAAAGCUUUAAAGCUUA
Long non-coding RNA from Bombus terrestris (buff-tailed bumblebee), 1923 nucleotides. RefSeq lists it as uncharacterized. The record is from RefSeq and is a predicted model, not a curated record. Lineage: Eukaryota; Metazoa; Arthropoda; Insecta; Hymenoptera; Apidae. The transcript has 2 exons.